GCGGUGUUGGUCUAGUGGUAUGAUUCUCGCUUAGGGCUCACCCUGAGAACAAGAAUGCGAGAGGUCCCCGGUUCAAUCCCGGGAUACCGCC
Non-coding RNA from Sphaerulina musiva SO2202, 91 nucleotides. The record is from the annotation of a RefSeq genome assembly. Lineage: Eukaryota; Fungi; Ascomycota; Dothideomycetes; Mycosphaerellales; Mycosphaerellaceae.